Hydra vulgaris (swiftwater hydra) is the source of this 506-nucleotide non-coding RNA. The record is from RefSeq and is a predicted model, not a curated record. Lineage: Eukaryota; Metazoa; Cnidaria; Hydrozoa; Anthoathecata; Hydridae.
AGCUGUUUAGCUAAAAAAAUGUUAAUUGGAAGAAGCAAAAGUGGAUGACGUGGUGCCAGUAAGAUGGUAUUGAUAUUAUCUAGUCUCAAAUAAGUUAGUCGCAGACGAAAAAUAAAACCUGUAAAAAGUUUCUGUCUAUAUUUACUUGCUCAAGUGCCAGUGAAACGAACGAUAGAAAAGAAGAAGCAUUCAAACUGUUGGCAAAUAUUUUGGUUUGGAUACAAAAACCAAGUAAAAAUGAUACUGGAAAGGCUGUUUACCUUUUGACUCCUGUUCCAAUCUAACCUAGUGGGUUCAAAAAGAAAGGACCGCGCUGGAAACAUGAGAGGGUUAAAAGGAUCAGCUCUUUUUGAAUUAAUAGUCGAAGUCGCAACCAGGUAGAAGUCGUAACUCGCUCGUAUGAAAGGAUUUCUUGACGUGAAAUAGUUAAUUUUAUUCAUCAACAACGCCAAGAAACAGAGCUCGCUCAAGAAACAGAAAAGAAAGAGAAAGAUGAAAAAGUAUUC